GGAAGGCGGAGUCUGGCUGAGUCAGAACUGGAGCAGACAAACCAGCAGCCAGUCAGGAAGUAAGUUUCAGAACCUCAGGGCACUCAAAUGACUUUUCCAGAAAUACCUCAGUGGGUUGCAUAGCUGGGAGAACCACUCGAUCGAGAGCCGAGAGCAGCCUGGAGAAUCUUCACUGCUGUCACACUGUGCACUAAGUCCUGGCAUGAGACCCUGCUGCCUGUCAGGAGAGCCCCUGGCAUCUGCCCCGACAUCUUCAGGUGAGGACAUGAUUAGGGGCAGAUAAUUCAUCUUUCACUUCAGCACCAGCCAAUCAGCUCUCUUCCUGGGCUCUUCCCCAUGACCCGGGCUGUGGCGGGUCUCCAGAGGCCAUGCUCUGGAGCAGGUCCUGAGUAGCAGGGGAGACAAAGAAGAGAGGCAGGUACCCGUCUAGUCUGUAGAAGUGGCCAACCUCAGCCUCAGGCAGGUCACGGUUUCUCCAGGAAUGCCUGGGUGAGAUCGCCUGGCUGUCACCAAGCAUGGCUACUGUAAGCACAGAGGUCUAGACCCUGAGGCCUAGAAAGAGGGUCCUACUUGUUUCUAGAACUCUAGCUGUUUGCCUCCAGGAUCUGUCCACCUCAGUGGACGAACAAAGAUCAUCUCCCCCAGAUGCUCCUUCCGUCCACCCAUCAAGCCGCACGUCCGCUUAUCCACCCACCUACCUGCCCACCACGGCCCUGCGAUUGUGGAGGCAGAGUUGUGUAGGGACAAUCAAGGGAGUCAGUCGUUAAACAAACAUGCCCACAAAACUGAAUGCAGUGUGUGCUAAGUGCCGGGAGAGGCAGUCGGAUGUCUUCAGCAUAACCAAGAUUGUCUCCCCUGGGGGUGCUCUCUGGGCCCCAAGGCAUUUUGAGCAGAAACACUGCAGAGGCAGCCCAUGGGCUUGGCCUCCAGGGACAGAGGCUCCUUCGAAAAUUGGGAAGAGUCAUUUAGGGAGCCAGCUGACUUGCUGCAGCUGCAUGCAGCCCAUGGUGACCUUUGCAAGGAGUUGGGUCCAUGGGUGUGUGGCUGGAGCAGGGGUUAAGUAGGAGGGGGGUCCUUGAAAGUCUGCCCCUGGAGAGCCCUGUUUGGGAGCCAGCCAGCCGGCUCCUGAGCCUUCAGGAGAAAUAAAGAAUGCAGUUAUUUCCGGAGGAGCGACAGCAGGAGCAGACGGCUGGAGGAGGGAACAGCAGGCAGACCAGGAAGGAAGAGUAGAAGAGAAAAGGGGGGAGAUGCAGGUGGGUGCAUGGGAAUUUCAGGGCUCUGGAGGGGGGUGGGGGCUCAGUUCCCACCCUACCCUUGUCACAACAAUAGAUUCCUGGGUCACUAGCCCACCAUGUGCCUAGAAGGAGCCACAUAGUAUCCCAUCCAGGAAAGUCACUUUUGCAUGACCCCAUUAUACAGACUGUAAAAGUGAGGUCAGACAAUAAUUCCGUUGCCAGGGGAGGCAGCAUUAAAUGGAGGACCAGAACAUGAACUCGUGGUGCUCGGUGCCUCACCCCACCCUCGGUCAUUCCCUUGUCAGGCCUGUGAAGUGAUCAGACGUGGAUCGAGGCAGAAUCUGAGCUGGCUCCUUGAGAUUUUGUUUGGCCUUCCUGACAGCCCAAGAGCUCGUGGGCUCCGUCCCCACAGGACAAAUGAGAUCAAGGAAGCACUGCAAACAAGUCAGCACCAUGAGAGCAAAGACCAGGUGCUGAGCACACACCAUGCCAGGAUAGGAAACCUGAGAUGUCUCGGGGAGAGGCACACCUGUACCUCAAGACAGAAACAAAUGGGGAUAGCAAUAGAAUACAGAUAAUGGGGUCCUGGUGGAAGAGCGGGUGAAAGGUGAGGGCAUGGAGGGAGGACUAUGAGACCAGAUGAGACUGCCCUUUCCCCUCCCUCCCUCCAUUUCUAGCUCCCUGGGAAAAGACCCCUUGUCUCCCCUCAAGGAGACUUCCAAAUUCUUUGCCAGGCUGUUGCCUAGCAACAGUGCCCUGACUGACCAGCCCUACCCACUGCGGUCAGUCAGGACCAGGGUUGUACAGCCAGCUCUGAGGGCCUGAUUCCAGGCAGGAAGGGGAACGGGACCCUGGAUACCAGAGGCUGGCCAGGAUGCAGUUGGAGUCUGGGAGCUCAGGGCUUUGUGAGCAGGAAGGGUGGAGCACGGUCAGAAGACACUCAGGAGGGGUUGUGUGCACAGGGAUGAGACCAAAGGACUUACUCUGAAGUCAUGGCUCUGUGUCUAUCUGAAAGAAGCUGAGUCUCCUCCUGGGCUGGUUUCAUUGCUGUAGACGUAGGGGACAAUGCCCAUGUCCCUGAGGAACAAAUGAGGACCAGUCAACACUCGAGGCUCGGUAUUGAGGGAAGAGCUGUCCUCAUAUGGACCAAAAGCUCUCCCAAGGCCUUCAGGAGAUGGUCAGUGACCAGUAAUUGAAAGCUGAGCUUGGGGGCUCUCUGGUAAGAUGGUCCCUGACUGACUCCUCUGGGUGGAGGUAGAGAGGGGAUUGGAAGGAUAUUCCAGGAAGCUGGGUGAAUUUACACAUAAUCUCUCCCGUAGUUACAUGGUUGGAAUUAGAAAUCUCAUAGUUCAGAGAAGGCAAGGGAUCUACCUAGGGUCUUACUCUGAAGACCAGCGACUUGUAGAGCUAAGUCCAACUGGCUUUCCUCAUGCAACCUUAACGUUCAGAAAAGAAAGUGACUUCCGUGGUUGGUCGGGAGGAAAGAGAACCAACCAUGGUGGUAAGGAGGCUGGUGUGGGCCUGAAACCACAGUGAAGGAGUCUGAACUCUAGGCAGGGCCCAGGGGAGCCAUGUCUGAGCUGGGAGAGAAGUGACCCAGGCUGAGUUCGCAGGUCUCUGGGUACUGUCCUGGGCCAUCUGUCGCCACCUCCUACACUUGCGGAGCUCUGCAUCGAUUCACCCCACCCUCCACCCCCGCUGCUUCUCAGGCACUGCGAGGAACCAUGUGCGACGCGGUGGAGAAUGUAAAAAUAUAUAUGCAACCGAAAAACAACAACGGCUCACAGCACACAGCUAUAAAUACUCCGUGGUGCGGAAGCGCAGUCCUCGAGCUGGCUGCCUGCUGCCUGGGGCCCGGCUUCUCUGACAGGGCUCAGAACUACCUCAGGAUUGUGGAGCCAAUUGUGAUGAGCCAGCAUGCCCAUGGAAGCAGUGCUCGCAGCCGGAGGACUUGGAAGGCCUCUCUUGAAGGCUGCAUGGGACUUCCAAAAGUACCGACUGUGUUGUUCUUUCAAAGCCUUUGGUCAAUGUCGACACAGUGGGGAGGCUCUUGUGGAUUAGCUUUUUAUAAUCCCCAAAGCACUUUAGAAUCAUAAAUCGCUUUGGGACCACAGAGUUCCUUGGAGUGCUUUCUAAACUGUUGAGCGCUGUACGAGUCAGACGAGUGGCCUUUCCAAGCACAGACAGGGACUGAAGGUGUAUCUUUGUGGGUGGAGUGCUAGUCCAGCAUACUCAGAGUCCUGGGUUCCACGUACAGCGCUGGGUAAGCCAGGCUUUGUAGUGCAAGCCUGCAGCUCCAGCAUUCAGAAGGCAAAGGCAGGAGGAUCAGAAAUCCAAGGCCCUCCUGCACUACAGAGUGUGUCUGCGGUAGCCUGGGACGUGCGAGACCCUGUAUAUCUUUUUAAAACUGAGCAGGGAGGGGAGCUGAGGGAUGGCUCAGCAGGUACAGGUGCUGCCAGGCCUCAUGACCGGACUCCACUGGCCGGAGGCCACACAGCAGAAGGAAAAAUCCAACUUCUGCAAGCUGUCCUCUGACCUUCACAUGUACACCCCGAUCCACAUCUACACACAUGCACACAACUCAGGUAGAUGUAAGAAAAAUUCUUUUAGGGGUUGGGGAUUUAGCUCAGUGGUAGAGCGCUUGCCUAGGAAGCGCAAGGUCCUGGGUUCGGUCCCCAGCUCCGAAAAAAAAAAAAUUCUGUUAUUUACAAUGUGAGGUGGGAAGAGAAGACGAGCCCAGAGCGUGUUUGCCUCGUGGGGAUGGCGCACACCAUUGAUCCCAGCACUUGGGACGCAGAGGCAGGCAGAUCACCGAGUUUGAGACCAGCCUGGUCUACGGCGCUAGCGCUAGGACAGCCAGGGCUACACAGAGAGAGACUGUCUCAAAAACAAAACAAAACAAACAACCAAACCAGGCACUUGCCCUCCACCAUUGCUGUCAUGUCUGCUGAUCCUGUGCUGAGGCCAGGGAAGUCUGCAUGCUGACUCAGCCAAACGUGUGUGUGUGUGUGUGUGUGUGUGUGUGUGUGUGUGUGUGUCCAGCAGGAACAAACCUUUCCCUUCACCUUAGAAUUUUCUCUCCUCUGCUGUCUAAAUAAAGACAAUGACCUGACUCUUUUUAAAGAUUGCCUUCUUGGCUAUGGGAGACGUGAACACCCAGGCUGUUGGGUAGGACCUGCUCUGUAGAUCCCAUGCAUCAAAGCCAAGGGCAGUCGAAGUUCAUGCCCUGGGUGUCUUCCUCUGAACCACCAAGGGUGAAAAGAAUGCCCUGAGUGAGGAAGCUCCUAGGCCUAAUCUCAGAUCUGCCACCUUCUCAUCUAUAACCCUGGUCAGGAGCCUUCUCCAAACGCGCAUUCCUCAGUAGUUAAUACUUUAUGCCUAUGUGACUGCACGGCCUGGUUCUGUCUCUUCCUCUAACUCCAGGCUUGGCACCUUCUGGCAAGGGUUAAACAGGUCCUAAAUAAGCGUGGCUUUGCUUUGCUUUGCUUUGCUGUUCUGUCUGUCUGUCUGUCUGUCUGUCUGUCUGUCUCUCUCUCUCUCUUUCUCUCUCUGUGUGUGUGUGUGUGUGUCUGUGUGUCUGUGUGUCUGUGUGUCUGUGUGUGUCUGUGUGUCUCUGUCUGAAACUCACCCUGUAGCCCAGGCUGGCCUCACACUCCACCUGCCUCUGCCUCCCAAGUGCUGGGAUUAAAGGCGAUCUCCACCAAAGUUGGUGGCUUUCCUAAGAAUGGUUUUUCAGAACAAGACGACCCUCACCUGGCACCAUGCAGCCCAGGAGGACAGCCUGUACCCAGUGCCACCUCCAGACAUCCAGAGUCCCUGGGUACCACUGAGAUGAGCAGGUCAGUGAUGGAGAAAUGGAAGAGAAGGAGAAGCAAAACAUUUUGUGCACAAUGGAGAUGAAACUAGAGAACAGGAUGAACAGACUGGUGAGAGGGGCAGGUGAUGCCACCUGAGGACAUGGGGAGGUCCUGGCCAGCUUCCCCGUGGGCCAAGUCUGUGGCCCUACAGCUGCAGGGGUCUGUCACCACCAAAGGCUAUGCAGACACCCCUGAUCUGCUGCCAGGGGCCAUUUGAUGUUUGAUGGUUGUGCAGAGAUGGCCCCACUACUUACCUGCUGCUGCGCUCAGGACAAUGCCACCCCCACCCGGACCUGGAACCUCAUCUGGGCAGACAGUAGAGCUGGCCCUGGUAGCAUGAGUGUGAGAGAGUUGACAGGCUCACCCAUUCAACUUCUGCUCAAAUCCAGGGUUGGAAGUUGGCCCACUCCUACAUCUACCCUGUCUGUGAAUGAGCUGGAGCUUGUGGAAGGGCCGUCCUGCAGAUUUAAAGCUGGGGGAUCUCCAUGAUCUAGGGUAUAAGAUAUCCAGGAGGAGUCCCAGUGAGAAUCCAGGAUGGAUAGCACAGCCAAAGCCAGAGGCCUAAAACCAGACCAAUGAUUCACUGCAAAGAUCAUUUGUAAAAAAAGCUAUUUGGACAAAAGGGUGUCCUGUGUGAAAAGCCCAGACACCCUGCAGCUUCCUCGGUGAGAUUUCUGUUUGCUUGCUUUUGGGGGAAGGUUGCAAGGGCGAAGGGUGGAUAUGGAAGGAAAGGGAGAUGAUCCACUCAUCACUGAGGUGCAUGAUGUGAAAUCCACAAAAAAAAAAAAUCAAUAAAGAAAAAGAAGACUCAGUUUCUAAUUUUA
Molecule: non-coding RNA, 5916 nt
Organism: Rattus norvegicus (Norway rat)
Lineage: Eukaryota; Metazoa; Chordata; Mammalia; Rodentia; Muridae
Source: RefSeq, a predicted model, not a curated record